ACAACGAAAAGGCAAAACUAUGGAAACAUAGCAGCGCAAAGCUAUAGGGGCUAAAGUGGUUAAUCCACUAUGCCAGCCAGUUGCCGAA
Molecule: non-coding RNA, 88 nt
Filed under: Domibacillus iocasae
Lineage: Bacteria; Bacillati; Bacillota; Bacilli; Caryophanales; Bacillaceae
Description: c-di-GMP sequence
Rfam family: c-di-GMP-I riboswitch aptamer
About the family: GEMM was predicted in a large-scale screen for bacterial structured RNA regulatory elements. Genes associated with GEMM are involved in a diverse array of functions, including chemotaxis regulation, signal transduction, secretion and chitin.
Source: Rfam by way of RNAcentral